Triticum aestivum (bread wheat) is the source of this 125-nucleotide non-coding RNA. The record is from Rfam. Lineage: Eukaryota; Viridiplantae; Streptophyta; Magnoliopsida; Poales; Poaceae.
GUACUACUCCCUUCGUCCGGAAAUACUUGUCGGAAAAAUUGAUGUAUCUAAACGUAUUUUAAUUCUAGAUACAUCAAUUUCUAUCCAUUUAUGUGACAAGCGUUUCUGGACUGAGGGAGUGCUAC